UACGGAGGGUGCAAGCAUUGAUCGGAAUUACUGGGCGUAAAGGGCGCGCAGGCGGUAAGGAAAGACAGAUGUGAAAUUCCGGGGCUCAACCCCGGAGCUGCAUUUUAAACUUCCUGGCUAGAGUUCAGUUAGGGAAAACGGAAUUCCACGUGUAGCGGUGAAAUGCGUAGAUAUGUGGAAGAACACCAGUGGUGAAGACGGUUUUCUGGGCUGAUACUGACGCUGAUGCGCGAAAGCAAUGGGAACAAGCAGG
This 253-nucleotide ribosomal RNA is filed under the name uncultured bacterium. RNAcentral's name for it is "partial 16S ribosomal RNA". It matches the Rfam family "Bacterial small subunit ribosomal RNA", at positions 524 to 776 of the family's 1533-position model. The record is from RNAcentral.